CCUACGGGAGGCUGCAGUGGGGAAUAUUGGACAAUGGGCGAAAGCCUGAUCCAGCCAUGCCGCGUGUGUGAAGAAGGCCUUCGGGUUGUAAAGCACUUUCAGUGGGGAAGAAAGCCUUGGGGCUAAUACCCUCGAGGAAGGACAUCACCCACAGAAGAAGCACCGGCUAACUCCGUGCCAGCAGCCGCGGUAAUACGGAGGGUGCGAGCGUUAAUCGGAAUUACUGGGCGUAAAGCGCGCGUAGGCGGUCUGAUAAGCCGGUUGUGAAAGCCCCGGGCUCAACCUGGGAACGGCAUCCGGAACUGUCAGGCUAGAGUGCAGGAGAGGAAGGUAGAAUUCCCGGUGUAGCGGUGAAAUGCGUAGAGAUCGGGAGGAAUACCAGUGGCGAAGGCGGCCUUCUGGACUGAAACUGACGCUGAGGUGCGAAAGCGUGGGUAGCAAACAGGAUUAGAUACCCCAGUAGUC
RNAcentral lists this ribosomal RNA (465 nucleotides) under Vreelandella stevensii. Its description in RNAcentral is "partial 16S ribosomal RNA". It matches the Rfam family "Bacterial small subunit ribosomal RNA", at positions 338 to 795 of the family's 1533-position model. The record is from RNAcentral. Lineage: Bacteria; Pseudomonadati; Pseudomonadota; Gammaproteobacteria; Oceanospirillales; Halomonadaceae.